Molecule: transfer RNA, 72 nt
Filed under: Euglena gracilis
Lineage: Eukaryota; Euglenozoa; Euglenophyceae; Euglenales; Euglenaceae
Description: partial tRNA-Ala
Rfam family: tRNA
About the family: Transfer RNA (tRNA) molecules are approximately 80 nucleotides in length. Their secondary structure includes four short double-helical elements and three loops (D, anti-codon, and T loops). Further hydrogen bonds mediate the characteristic L-shaped molecular structure. tRNAs have two regions of fundamental functional importance: the anti-codon, which is responsible for specific mRNA codon recognition, and the 3' end, to which the tRNAs corresponding amino acid is attached (by aminoacyl-tRNA synthetases). tRNAs cope with the degeneracy of the genetic code in two manners: having more than one tRNA (with a specific anti-codon) for a particular amino acid; and 'wobble' base-pairing, i.e. permitting non-standard base-pairing at the 3rd anti-codon position.
Source: RNAcentral
GGGCGUGUAGCUCAGUGGUAGAGCGCCCGCUUCGCAUGCGGGAAGUCCAGGGUUCGAUCCCCUGUUCGUCCA